Molecule: ribosomal RNA, 307 nt
Filed under: uncultured soil bacterium
Lineage: Bacteria
Description: bacterial SSU rRNA
Rfam family: Bacterial small subunit ribosomal RNA
Source: RNAcentral
AGCCUGAACGCUGGCGGCGUGGCUAAGACAUGCAAGUCGUGCGGAUGUAGCAAUACAUCAGUGGCGAACGGGAGAGUAAUGAAUCGCUAAUGUACCCCGGACUCUGGGAUAGCUGACCGAAAGGUCAGGUAAUACCAGAUGAUAUAUCCGACAGGCAUCUGUUGGAUCUCAAAGGUCCGCCGGUCUGGGAGCAGGCGUAUUUCGAUCAGUCUAGGUUGGUGAGGUAACGGCUCGACCGAAGGCGAUGCGCGUACGCCGGACGUGAGGAGGUUCGGCCGGUCCUCGACGUUGGGACCUGGAAGACCAC